Molecule: ribosomal RNA, 429 nt
Filed under: Chloroflexota bacterium
Lineage: Bacteria; Bacillati; Chloroflexota
Description: Chloroflexi bacterium partial 16S ribosomal RNA
Rfam family: Bacterial small subunit ribosomal RNA
Source: RNAcentral
UGGGGAAUAUUGCACAAUGGGCGCAAGCCUGAUGCAGCCAUGCCGCGUGUGUGAAGAAGGCCUUCGGGUUGUAAAGCACUUUCAGCGGGGAGGAAGGCGUUAAGGUUAAUAACCUUGGCGAUUGACGUUACCCGCAGAAGAAGCACCGGCUAACUCCGUGCCAGCAGCCGCGGUAAUACGGAGGGUGCAAGCGUUAAUCGGAAUUACUGGGCGUAAAGCGCACGCAGGCGGUCUGUCAAGUCGGAUGUGAAAUCCCCGGGCUCAACCUGGGAAAUGCAUUCGAAACUGGCAGGCUAGAGUGUUGGAGAGGGGGGUAGAAUUCCAGGUGUAGCGGUGAAAUGCGUAGAGAUCUGGAGGAAAACCGGUGGCGAAGGCGGCCCCCUGGACAAAGACUGACGCUCAGGUGCGAAAGCGUGGGGAGCAAACAGG